AAGGUUCGAUUCGAGCGAAAGCGAGAAAGCGUUGCCGCAGGCAACGGCCCGAAGGGCGAAGCGCGCAGCGCUGAGUCAUCCUUCCCCCACCACCA
RNAcentral lists this small RNA (95 nucleotides) under Salmonella enterica subsp. enterica. RNAcentral describes it as "partial RtT sRNA". It matches the Rfam family "RtT RNA", at positions 38 to 130 of the family's 130-position model. From Rfam's summary of the family: This family represents a bacterial cis-regulatory element known as RtT RNA. The exact function of RtT is unknown although it is thought that it may be involved in changing the cellular response in relation to amino acid starvation. The record is from RNAcentral. Lineage: Bacteria; Pseudomonadati; Pseudomonadota; Gammaproteobacteria; Enterobacterales; Enterobacteriaceae.